Molecule: ribosomal RNA, 497 nt
Filed under: uncultured bacterium
Lineage: Bacteria
Description: partial 16S ribosomal RNA
Rfam family: Bacterial small subunit ribosomal RNA
Source: RNAcentral
GAUGAACGCUGGCGGCAUGCCUAAUACAUGCAAGUCGAGCGAACAGACGAGGAGCUUGCUCCUCUGACGUUAGCGGCGGACGGGUGAGUAACACGUGGAUAACCUACCUAUAUGACUGGGAUAACUUCGGGAAACCGGAGCUAAUACCGGAUAAUAUAUUGAACCGCAUGGUUCAAUAGUGAAAGACGGUUUUGCUGUCACUUAUAGAUGGAUCCGCGCCGCAUUAGCUAGUUGGUAAGGUAACGGCUUACCAAGGCAACGAUGCGUAGCCGACCUGAGAGGGUGAUCGGCCACACUGGAACUGAGACACGGUCCAGACUCCUACGGGAGGCAGCAGUAGGGAAUCUUCCGCAAUGGGCGAAAGCCUGACGGAGCAACGCCGCGUGAGUGAUGAAGGUCUUCGGAUCGUAAAACUCUGUUAUUAGGGAAGAACAAAUGUGUAAGUAACUAUGCACGUCUUGACGGUACCUAAUCAGAAAGCCACGGCUAACUACGUG